Long non-coding RNA from Chelonus insularis, 612 nucleotides. RefSeq lists it as uncharacterized. Lineage: Eukaryota; Metazoa; Arthropoda; Insecta; Hymenoptera; Braconidae. The transcript has 2 exons. The record is from RefSeq and is a predicted model, not a curated record.
GGACACAUGAUUCAAAAUCAAUUUUUAUGGUGUACUAUUAUUGUAAAAAUAGAAGGCAAGAUAACUUUGAAUGUAUUGAGCAUCACAUAAAAAUAGAAAUAAAUUUAAUUAGCCAACUAAUAAAAAUAUGGUUGGGUUAUUGAAUUAUUAAAAUAAAAAUAGAUUGGAUGUCAAUAGAAGACUUCAUUCAUGAUGAUGAAACACUAAUUUUUAAGACAUUGCGCAAUUCUUCUCUGGUGAUUAUCCUGUGCAUGUGAUUGGAGACAUUUAAAUAUGAAAAUACCACUAGAAUGUUUUCAUGUUGACUUCCUCUUGCUCUUGGAACUUCUAAAUAACUGGAAACUCACUCACGCACACAAAGACCUUGAAAUUGAACGCACACGUUGGAGAACAUUAUUGAACAGCUACUGAGAAGUCCAAGCUGAUGCUACUGAAGAAUAUUUUUGCACCUCGCUAACCCUGGAAAGUGAAUUUAUUCAAAAUUUAAUCAGGUCAAGUGCAAGGAAGUAAGAUUAUUUAAUUUUCAAUCUUCAUUGGUGGUGAUUUGAAUGCUAGAUUAGACAGUGAAUGAAUUAAAUUGACUAAAUAUCAAUUAACUUGAUGAUAAAAAAA